Molecule: transfer RNA, 71 nt
Filed under: Candidatus Woesearchaeota archaeon
Lineage: Archaea; Nanobdellati; Candidatus Woesearchaeota
Description: tRNA-Val
Rfam family: tRNA
About the family: Transfer RNA (tRNA) molecules are approximately 80 nucleotides in length. Their secondary structure includes four short double-helical elements and three loops (D, anti-codon, and T loops).
Source: RNAcentral
GGGCCCAUGGUCUAGUGGCAGGACACAACCUUCACAGGGUUGGGGCAGGAGUUCAAUUCUUCUUGGGCCCA